RNAcentral lists this ribosomal RNA (465 nucleotides) under uncultured Klebsiella sp. RNAcentral describes it as "bacterial SSU rRNA". It matches the Rfam family "Bacterial small subunit ribosomal RNA", at positions 338 to 795 of the family's 1533-position model. Lineage: Bacteria; Pseudomonadati; Pseudomonadota; Gammaproteobacteria; Enterobacterales; Enterobacteriaceae. The record is from RNAcentral.
CCUACGGGUGGCUGCAGUGGGGAAUAUUGCACAAUGGGCGCAAGCCUGAUGCAGCCAUGCCGCGUGUGUGAAGAAGGCCUUCGGGUUGUAAAGCACUUUCAGCGGGGAGGAAGGCGGUGAGGUUAAUAACCUUAUCGAUUGACGUUACCCGCAGAAGAAGCACCGGCUAACUCCGUGCCAGCAGCCGCGGUAAUACGGAGGGUGCAAGCGUUAAUCGGAAUUACUGGGCGUAAAGCGCACGCAGGCGGUCUGUCAAGUCGGAUGUGAAAUCCCCGGGCUCAACCUGGGAACUGCAUUCGAAACUGGCAGGCUAGAGUCUUGUAGAGGGGGGUAGAAUUCCAGGUGUAGCGGUGAAAUGCGUAGAGAUCUGGAGGAAUACCGGUGGCGAAGGCGGCCCCCUGGACAAAGACUGACGCUCAGGUGCGAAAGCGUGGGGAGCAAACAGGAUUAGAUACCCCUGUAGUC